This 72-nucleotide transfer RNA is filed under the name Ictidomys tridecemlineatus (thirteen-lined ground squirrel). RNAcentral's name for it is "Spermophilus tridecemlineatus (thirteen-lined ground squirrel) tRNA". It matches the Rfam family "tRNA". From Rfam's summary of the family: Transfer RNA (tRNA) molecules are approximately 80 nucleotides in length. The record is from Rfam by way of RNAcentral. Lineage: Eukaryota; Metazoa; Chordata; Mammalia; Rodentia; Sciuridae. RNAcentral also lists the same sequence under 1 other name.
GGGUGUGUGGCUCAAUGGCAGAGCACAAGUUCAAUAUACAUGAGGAUUUGGGUUCAAACCCUAGUGCACCAA